This 253-nucleotide ribosomal RNA is filed under the name uncultured bacterium. RNAcentral describes it as "partial 16S ribosomal RNA". It matches the Rfam family "Bacterial small subunit ribosomal RNA", at positions 524 to 776 of the family's 1533-position model. The record is from RNAcentral.
UACGGAAGGUGCAAGCGUUAUCCGGAAUCACUGGGCGUAAAGGGCGCGUAGGCGGCUCGGUAAGUAGGGGGUGAAAUCCUGCGGCUUAACCGCAGGGCUGCCUUCUAAACUGUCGAGCUUGAGCACGGUAGAGGCAGAUGGAAUUCCCGGUGUAGCGGUGGAAUGCGUAGAGAUCGGGAAGAACAUCAGUGGCGAAGGCGGUCUGCUGGGCCGUUGCUGACGCUGAGGCGCGACAGCGUGGGGAGCAAACAGG